Molecule: ribosomal RNA, 349 nt
Filed under: uncultured Tomentella
Lineage: Eukaryota; Fungi; Basidiomycota; Agaricomycetes; Thelephorales; Thelephoraceae
Description: eukaryotic LSU rRNA
Rfam family: Eukaryotic large subunit ribosomal RNA (bases 294-349)
Source: RNAcentral
GUGAUCAUCGAAUCUUUGAACGCACCUUGCGCCCCUUGGUUAUUCCUCGGGGCAUGCCUGUUUGAGUAUCAUGAACACCUCAACUCUCAUGGUCUUCCGUGAUGAGCUUGGACUUUGGAGGCUUGCUGGCCUUGCCGCCAGCUCCUCUCAAAUGAAUCAGCUUGCCAGUGUUUGGUGGCAUCACGGGUGUGAUAACUAUCUACUCUCGUGGUCGUUUGCCAGGUAACCCUCAGCAAUGAAGGUUCAUUGGGGCUCAUAAAAGUCUCUCCCAGAGAGGACAAAUUUUGAACGUUCGAUCUCAAAUCAGGUAGGACUACCCGCUGAACUUAAGCAUAUCAAUAAGCGGAGG